This is a non-coding RNA of Engraulis encrasicolus (European anchovy), 237 nucleotides long. NCBI's taxonomy places the organism in Eukaryota, Metazoa, Chordata, Actinopteri, Clupeiformes, Engraulidae. The record is from the annotation of a RefSeq genome assembly.
AUGUGCCUGGCUAACGGAGGCUUCCCAUCCGACUGGAGUCUGAGCUGGUCUGUAGCGGGGAGCAGCAGGAGCGGGGAGACCAGUCUCUGGGGCCCACAGAAGGACGGCCUGUACAGCUGGAGCAGCACCCUGACCCUCCCUCUCCAGGAGUGGACCCAGGACGUCCCAGUGACCUGCCAGGCAACACGGGGCUCCCAGACUGUCACCAAGAUCCUGAAGAAAUCAGACUGCUCCUAG